RNAcentral lists this ribosomal RNA (438 nucleotides) under uncultured bacterium. Its description in RNAcentral is "bacterial SSU rRNA". It matches the Rfam family "Bacterial small subunit ribosomal RNA", at positions 1 to 488 of the family's 1533-position model. The record is from RNAcentral.
GAUUAGAGUUUGAUCCUGGCUCAGAACGAACGCUGGCGGCAUGCCUAACACAUGCAAGUCGAACGAACCCUUCGGGGUUAGUGGCGCACGGGUGCGUAACGCGUGGGGAUCUGCCCUUUGCUUCGGAAUAACAGUUAGAAAUGACUGCUAAUACCGGAUGAUGUCGAAAGACCAAAGAUUUAUCGGCAAAGGAUGAACCCGCGUAGGAUUAGCUAGUUGGUGGGGUAAAGGCCUACCAAGGCGACGAUCCUUAGCUGGUCUGAGAGGAUGAUCAGCCACACUGGGACUGAGACACGGCCCAGACUCCUACGGGAGGCAGCAGUGGGGAAUAUUGGACAAUGGGCGAAAGCCUGAUCCAGCAAUGCCGCGUGAGUGAUGAAGGCCUUCGGGUUGUAAAGCUCUUUUACCAGGGAUGAUAAUGACAGUACCUGAGAAUAG